AGAAGUACAGACCUGAGUAUAAUGGAGACCUCUAGCCUCUAAUCAUGGGCACUAAAGGGGAUUGCAGACUUGAAGGGGUUGAACCAACUACCUGCAGUCAUGGGCAUUCAAUGUUUUGUAAGAGACAACCAGUCCAUUCAAAGAUGCAGGCAGGGGGAGAAGGAUGGCCAUGUUCGCCAAAGCAUGAUGGAAGAUGUUGAUGAAACCACACUGUUGAAACAAAUGGAGCAGGAGAAAAUGCCUCCUCCUCCAAAACCAAAGGAAAUAUUUGUGAGUGAAAGGUGUUGCUAUUAAUCCUUAGUCAGGAACAACCACCAUAAACCAAGAAUAUCCCAGGCUGUAUUCAAAGCUGCAAUAAAUAGAGAUUGACUCAUCCUGGGCUAUCUUCUUCUCCCAUUUCCUUACGAGUCUGGGAAAGGUGGGUGACUGAGGCAUGGAGACUUGGAUGUAGGAAAUAGAAACCCUGAAAAGUGGAAAGCAGACAUGCAACAUUGGAGCAUGGCAUGCCCCCCACUGACAAGGUACUGGCAGCAAAAAAGAUCCAGUCCUGGUGGUGGGGCACACUGGUGCAAUGCACACUACUGCACACGACCCUCAGAGCUUUGAUCAUUCAGUGCUGGUGGAGGCAGGUGCUGGCGAGGCUGCAGGCAAAGAGGCAGCGGGCGGCGCUGGAGUUCUGUGCAUGGCAGCUAUGGACAGCAGUCAGGCUGCAGUCCUGGGUCUGCAUGUGGCAUGUCCGCUGGCGUUACUGCCGUUUGCUCAGUGCUGUCCGGAUCAUCCAGAUCUAUUGGCGCUGGAGAAGUUGCCAUACUCAUGGCUUUUUCCAUGGCAGCUACGAGCUCACAACAAGCCAGCUGAGCCUUGAGCUUGGCGUCUUCCUGGGAUCACAGGUUUGCCGAAUUACAGACUGCAUCCCCUUCCCAAUAAAGAACUGACUAGGUCUGCUCCAA
This is an RNA transcript of Symphalangus syndactylus (siamang), 950 nucleotides long. It is a transcript of the gene named IQ domain-containing protein F5-like, with no coding region annotated. Lineage: Eukaryota; Metazoa; Chordata; Mammalia; Primates; Hylobatidae. The record is from RefSeq and is a predicted model, not a curated record.